UUAACUAUUAUAUAGUACUCAGACGACACUAAUAUUCAGAGCUUGGGGUCCUCUGGCAGGCACGCACCAGCGAAAGCCGAUGGUUAGACCGAGGUUUAACGGCCUGCCAAAGCAACAAAGGUAUAAAUACACAGGGUGGGAGAUCUACCCCGAAGGGCAAGAACUCUGUAAUGAUCCCUCCGCAGGUUCACCUACGGAGA
Molecule: unclassified non-coding RNA, 200 nt
Filed under: uncultured fungus
Lineage: Eukaryota; Fungi
Description: sequence contains ITS1
Source: RNAcentral